AAUAAAAUUAUUAAUGGCUUUAUUUUUAUAUUUGAUUUUUAAUUUAAUUGAUUGCCAAAAAACGGGAAAUAAUAAGGAUAAUUAUUAUUAAGCAGAACAAAAUUUCCUUAUCAACUCUAAAAGAAUGCUUCCGAUGAAUCACAAAUACUUAAUGAUAUUCAUUGCUUUAAUCUGGGCCUUUUCUUCAAUAAUUUAUGGCAGAGAAAUAUCGUACACAGCUUCCAGUAAUGAUCCUAUUAUCAGACCUUCGUUUGCAGAUAUAAUAAGCGCCGCUUUGAUUGUGGGAUAAUAAUACUAAAAUAUUGCAAUCAGAUUUGCAUACUUUUAUUUACACUAAUCUUUUUAUAAUGAUAUUUUUAUUUUAUAUUAUAUACAUAUAUAUUUGAAACAUGUAAAAUGUCACUAUUUUAACUAAUUAAAAAUCAUGUUCCUUAGUUUAAUUUUUUUUUUCCUCAUCACGAUAAUGAUGUAAAACAAAAAAAUUUACUCAAAAUUGAUAUAAAUAUUUUAUUAUUCUUAAAAUUUAUAUCUUCAGUUAUCAUUUUAUAUUUAAAUUAUAUUACAAUGUUUGAUUGAAUAGACGAUAAAACAAAUAUCCCCCUUUAGCUUCUUAGAGAUAAUUCAUUAAAUCGGUCAAAAUGUUUCUUCUUUAAUCUAUUCUCCUACUAGGGCUCACUCAUAUCACCCCAAAAUUUUUAUGACCGAUGACUAAUCUCCGUCGAAGAUAGUGACACAGUUUACUUUAAUAUGGCCUUUAGAUAUGUAAAAUAUUGUUUAAAUUUUCUUCCUUCCUCAAAUUGUGAAUUUCAAAAGCACAUAUGUUAAUUAAGAGUGUUUCUUUCUUUCUUUCUUUCUUUCUUUCUUUCUU
This is a long non-coding RNA of Gordionus sp. m RMFG-2023, 868 nucleotides long. RefSeq lists it as uncharacterized. The transcript has 3 exons. The record is from RefSeq and is a predicted model, not a curated record. Lineage: Eukaryota; Metazoa; Nematomorpha; Gordioida; Chordodea; Parachordodidae.